CAUACAUAGUUUUAAAAAGUGGUUUAAAUUGUGUAUUUACUUUUUCAAUAGGAUACAACCAUAAAUAAACCAAGAAGUUUAUGAAGAAGGGAUCACUGGAUUUUGUCACUUUGGUACAAGAAACAGGAAAGGAUAUCAUCGACCACCUUACUUAUACAGAAGCAUAGGAGCUGUUGAAGGAAAUUGCUGCCAGACAGUCAGCAGUUAUCACUGACAGCCUGUCCUGGCCCAGCUUGGACCAUCCUCAAGCUAACCAUGAUGGUGUGUUUGCAAGAAUUGUCCAUUUGGUAGACCAUGAUGAAGACCAGCUUUGUUGUAGCAUGGCCUGACAAUACUGUACAAGCCAGAGACCAAAAAAGGGUUAAGUGGUGACUGAUCCUCUCAUCCUCCUUAUCCAGGAAACGUUUCGGAACAACGUGUUGGCACUGAAGAUGUGGAGGACACAGAUUGAUCUCAGUACAUCCUUUGGAUACAUGGACACCUUCAAAGGGACGACAACAAAACUGUACCUGUCUUUUUUUUGAAAGGAAGUAGUUAAUAAAAUUA
Molecule: long non-coding RNA, 546 nt
Organism: Dreissena polymorpha
Lineage: Eukaryota; Metazoa; Mollusca; Bivalvia; Myida; Dreissenidae
Exons: 3
Source: RefSeq, a predicted model, not a curated record